RNAcentral lists this ribosomal RNA (331 nucleotides) under uncultured bacterium. RNAcentral's name for it is "bacterial SSU rRNA". It matches the Rfam family "Bacterial small subunit ribosomal RNA", at positions 568 to 898 of the family's 1533-position model. The record is from RNAcentral.
CGCGUAGGUGGUAGUGCAAGUCUGAGGUGGAAUCCUAUGGCUUAACCAUAGAACUGCCUUGGAAACUGCAUUACUUGAGUCAGUGAGGGGAGGGUAGAAUUCCUGGUGUAGCGGUGAAAUGCGUAGAUAUCAGGAGGAGGGCCGGUGGCGAAGGCGGCCCUCUGGCGCUGAACUGACACUGAGGCGCGAAAGCGUGGGGAGCAAACAGGAUUAGAUACCCUGGUAGUCCACGCCCUAAACGGUGGGUACUAGGGUGUAGGGCUCGUAAGGGUUCUGUGCCGAAGCGAAAGCAUUAAGUACCCCGCCUGGGGAGUACGGCCGCAAGGUUGAA